CCUACGGGAGGCUGCAGUGAGGAAUAUUGGUCAAUGGACGAUAGCCUGAACCAGCCAAGUAGCGUGAAGGAUGACUGCCCUAUGGGUUGUAAACUUCUUUUAUAAAGGAAUAAAACGAGGCACGUGUGCCUGUUUGCAUGUACUUUAUGACUAAGUAUCGGCUAACUCCGUGCCAGCAGCCGCGGUAAUACGGAGGAUCCGAGCGUUAUCCGGAUUUAUUGGGUUUAAAGGGAGCGUAGAUGGGUUGUUAAGUCAGUUGUGAAAGUUUGCGGCUCAACCGUAAAAUUGCAAUUGAUACUGGCAGUCUUGAGUACAGUUGAGGUAGGCGGAAUUCGUGGUGUAGCGGUGAAAUGCUUAGAGAUCACGAAGAACCCCGAUUGCGAAGGCAGCUUACUAAACUGUGACUGACAUUGAUGCUCGAAAGUGUGGGUAUCAAACAGGAUUAGAUACCCCGGUAGUC
Molecule: ribosomal RNA, 460 nt
Filed under: uncultured bacterium
Lineage: Bacteria
Description: partial 16S ribosomal RNA
Rfam family: Bacterial small subunit ribosomal RNA
Source: RNAcentral